This 406-nucleotide ribosomal RNA is filed under the name uncultured bacterium. RNAcentral describes it as "bacterial SSU rRNA". It matches the Rfam family "Bacterial small subunit ribosomal RNA", at positions 355 to 775 of the family's 1533-position model. The record is from RNAcentral.
UAGGGAAUAUUGCACAAUGGAGGAAACUCUGAUGCAGCGACGCCGCGUGAGUGAUGAAGGACUUCGGUUUGUAAAGCUCUGUUGUCAGGGAAUAAAAAAAUGAAUGUACCUGACGAGAAAGGACCGGCUAACUUCGUGCCAGCAGCCGCGGUAAUACGAAGGGUCCAAGCGUUGUUCGGAAUCAUUGGGCGUAAAGCGAGUGCGGGUGGCUCUUUAAGUCAGGAGUGAAAGCCCAGGGCUCAACCCUGGAAGUGCUUUUGAUACUGGAGAGCUUGAAUGUGGCAGAGGGUGCUAGAAUACCUAAUGUAGUGGUGAAAUACGUAGAUAUUAGGUGGAACACCGGUGGCGAAGGCGGGCACCUGGGCCAACAUUGACACUUAGACUCGAAAGCGUGGGGAUCAAACAG